UUCCCUAAUUACAUUGCUUGAUUCCUGGGCCUUAUCUCCUGGUGUCGUUGAUUUGGGAUCGAGAACAUCAGGAGUCGCGUUCCAGACGUCGAUCCUUACGUCCCGCGCCUCGACCUGAUCCACGAUUCGGAUCGAAGUUUCCGGAUCGAGAAACGGCCCUACAUCCCGCGUUCCGGGCUGCUAUGGUCCAACCAACCGUGAUUGUCCCACCACCCCCAAUUAUGUGCUUUGUUCCGUCGCUGCACCUCCGCCCUCGCUAAGUAACCGCAGCCUUCAUUCCCCUCUCAUGUAUAGCCAAAACGGCAGCCAGCACACCUGAAUUCUUGGGGACUUUGGGUCGGUCGCUCUAUUUAGUCCUUUCUUCCACGUGGUUCUUCCUCACCCCUGCGUCUGCCGACAACUGCCGGAUUCCAGGAGCCACUCCAAGCAGCAAGCAGAAUUAUCUCGGAUUUCUGUGCAAUUGAUUUCAUCCAUAUCAGCGAAAUCUGUCCUGACGGUUAUGGCUUUGCGGGGUGUUCUACAGUAUCCUCUCACCUGUGUGCAUGGAGUCACUCAUCUAAACUGUGUGUUGAUCGAACAGCCGCAAUAUAUAUCUUCAACUCCUUUAAUUGGAUCCAGUUAACCUCCGUUUGGUGCUUCUACGGUUCUAUAUGGCUCAAGCUUGAAUUUAUUUUUAAUAUAUACAUUAGGAUGAAGUCCUUCCUUUUGGCCAGUGAUGCUAUUUGCAUUGUGGUGUUAACAUUUUUUUUGUCAUCUCAUACAUAUUGUACGAUUGAGCAGGUUCUCAUUCAACGAGAAGAGAGAAGCAUGUGCAGUGAAGAAUUUUGAGGUGCAGAAGUAGAAUCUUCUUUUGCCCCCGUUUUACAAUUUUGGAUUCCCUUUUGUUAAUCCUUUAUUACAUGUUCUGUCAUGCUUUGUUCUCUCCUCAGCACCUAAUAAGUUUAUGCCAAAUAUGUGUAGAUUGAGAAAGUGUUUGUAUGUCAAACUCUCUGGUUUUCUGCUCUACACGUAUGACAUAUGUAGUCUUUGUUGUUCUAAUAUAUGGAACAUUUAUCUUUACGAGAUCUCGGCUUUGUGCAUUGUUGAAUUUCAACAGUUUUCUUACUGCUGCACUGAGUACUUUGAAAUCAUAUCUAUUCUAAUCUUCUUCAUGUGUGUUCUGUUUACUCACUGUAUAAUGAGGCGCCCUUUUACCUCAUGUACAGACGAUGCACUUUCUACCUGGAUUGGGUUUCUCCAAUCACAUAUUAUCAUACCAAAUUUAUGAUAUUUAUCAUGAUUUAUGUCUUAUGCUCAUUUUCCCUUUGUUCUAACUUCAUUCUUGGUAAAAAAAAAUUGUUCUGAGUUU
Long non-coding RNA from Brachypodium distachyon (stiff brome), 1348 nucleotides. RefSeq lists it as uncharacterized. Lineage: Eukaryota; Viridiplantae; Streptophyta; Magnoliopsida; Poales; Poaceae. The record is from RefSeq and is a predicted model, not a curated record. The transcript is spliced from 3 exons.